RNAcentral lists this ribosomal RNA (427 nucleotides) under Verrucomicrobiota bacterium. Its description in RNAcentral is "Verrucomicrobia bacterium partial 16S ribosomal RNA". It matches the Rfam family "Bacterial small subunit ribosomal RNA", at positions 355 to 776 of the family's 1533-position model. The record is from RNAcentral. Lineage: Bacteria; Pseudomonadati; Verrucomicrobiota.
UAGGGAAUCUUCCGCAAUGGACGAAAGUCUGACGGAGCAACGCCGCGUGAGUGAAGAAGGAUUUCGGUUCGUAAAACUCUGUUGUUAGGGAAGAAAAAUGUAUAGUAACUAUAUACAAAAGAGACGGUACCUAACCAGAAAGCCACGGCUAACUACGUGCCAGCAGCCGCGGUAAUACGUAGGUCCCGAGCGUUGUCCGGAUUUAUUGGGCGUAAAGCGAGCGCAGGCGGUUAGAAAAGUCUGAAGUGAAAGGCAGUGGCUCAACCAUUGUAGGCUUUGGAAACUGUUUAACUUGAGUGCAGAAGGGGAGAGUGGAAUUCCAUGUGUAGCGGUGAAAUGCGUAGAUAUAUGGAGGAACACCGGUGGCGAAAGCGGCUCUCUGGUCUGUAACUGACGCUGAGGCUCGAAAGCGUGGGGAGCGAACAGG